Long non-coding RNA from Ictalurus punctatus (channel catfish), 383 nucleotides. The record is from Ensembl. NCBI's taxonomy places the organism in Eukaryota, Metazoa, Chordata, Actinopteri, Siluriformes, Ictaluridae.
AGAGGAACAAGGAACAGAACAACAAACGGAUGAGGGACAGAGUCCGUUCCGGGUCUCCAGAGCCAUCAGAGAGUUCUCCCCAAUCGCCUCCGGGGAGAUCAGACCAGAUCAACUGCUCAGAGAUCCCACCAGAGAGCCGACAGCUCUCGAAACAUCCCUCAUACUAGACGCCGUUUCAUUCAUCAUUCUGGUUGGUCUUCCAAGACGCCACUCAAACACCGGCCAGACCAUGACGUAAUGAGGAAAUCCCCCAAACAGGUCCCGCCUACUGCAUGCGUACAUUCCGGCCUGCUACUGGACAAUCAUGUCUUGUCCGUGCCUGCUCCGGCCUUGUGCGACAGGAUUGGUUUCCUGCACGCUUCCAGAAGUGAACUUAAGCCUUG